RNAcentral lists this long non-coding RNA (217 nucleotides) under Brassica napus (rape). RNAcentral's name for it is "long non-coding RNA (BNAP_LNC003489)". The record is from RNAcentral. Lineage: Eukaryota; Viridiplantae; Streptophyta; Magnoliopsida; Brassicales; Brassicaceae.
GUGGACUAGAGAUGGAAUAUGGAAGGAUGUGUGACCUAUCGGGAAGUGAUUCUUAAUAUCGUGCGAGUGAGACCAAAAGACGAUGAAAGUUGAUAUAGUGAUUGCAUGGUAGGUAAACAAUGAUUUUGAGCCUUCGAACAAAUUAACGCACCGUCCAUUGAAUGAGAUGAAGAUCACGAUACGACUGAGCGGGCGUGCGAUCAGGACGUUACAAGUG